CUUUAUUGUACUUCCCACACCAGAUUCAUUAGCUUUCACAUAUGGUCUUCCCCUGCCCAUAAUAAAUCCAGAUUGAUCAGAAUCCACAAAGUCUGGAAUUACUGCCCCCAAUCUAUCUGCAAGAAUUUUAGAGAAGAUUUUUACAUCUAAAUUUAUAAUAGAUAUAGGCCUAUAAUUUGAAAUUAAACUUGGGUUCUUCCCUACCUUGGGUACUGGACAAAUUGAG
This is a non-coding RNA of Pelobates cultripes (western spadefoot toad), 226 nucleotides long. Lineage: Eukaryota; Metazoa; Chordata; Amphibia; Anura; Pelobatidae. The record is from the annotation of a GenBank genome assembly.